AAAGUCGAACGGCAGCGCGGGGCAACCUGGCGGCGAGUGGCGAACGGGUGAGUAAUAUAUCGGAACGUACCCUGGAGUGGGGGAUAACGUAGCGAAAGUUACGCUAAUACCGCAUACGAUCUAAGGAUGAAAGCAGGGGACCGCAAGGCCUUGUGCUCCUGGAGCGGCCGAUAUCUGAUUAGCUAGUUGGUGGGGUAAAGGCCCACCAAGGCAUCGAUCAGUAGCUGGUCUGAGAGGACGACCAGCCACACUGGAACUGAGACACGGUCCAGACUCCUACGGGAGGCAGCAGUGGGGAAUUUUGGACAAUGGGCGCAAGCCUGAUCCAGCAAUGCCGCGUGAGUGAAGAAGGCCUUCGGGUUGUAAAGCUCUUUUGUCAGGGAAGAAACGGUGGGGGCUAAUAUCCUUUGCUAAUGACGGUACCUGAAGAAUAAGCACCGGCUAACUACGUGCCAGCAGCCGCGGUAAUACGUAGGGUGCAAGCGUUAAUCGGAAUUACUGGGCGUAAAGCGUGCGCAGGCGGUUUUGUAAGACUGUCGUGAAAUCCCCGGGCUCAACCUGGGAAUGGCGAUGGUGACUGCAAGGCUAGAGUUUGGCAGAGGGGGGUAGAAUUCCACGUGUAGCAGUGAAAUGCGUAGAUAUGUGGAGGAACACCGAUGGCGAAGGCAGCCCCCUGGGUCAAAACUGACGCUCAUGCACGAAAGCGUGGGGAGCAAACAGGAUUAGAUACCCUGGUAGUCCACGCCCUAAACGAUGUCUACUAGUUGUCGGGUCUUAAUUGACUUGGUAACGCAGCUAACGCGUGAAGUAGACCGCCUGGGGAGUACGGUCGCAAGAUUAAAACUCAAAGGAAUUGACGGGGACCCGCACAAGCGGUGGAUGAUGUGGAUUAAUUCGAUGCAACGCGAAAAACCUUACCUACCCUUGACAUGGAUGGAAUCCCUGAGAGAUUGGGGAGUGCUCGAAAGAGAACCAUUACACAGGUGCUGCAUGGCUGUCGUCAGCUCGUGUCGUGAGAUGUUGGGUUAAGUCCCGCAACGAGCGCAACCCUUGUCAUUAGUUGCUACGAAAGGGCACUCUAAUGAGACUGCCGGUGACAAACCGGAGGAAGGUGGGGAUGACGUCAAGUCCUCAUGGCCCUUAUGGGUAGGGCUUCACACGUCAUACAAUGGUACAUACAGAGGGCCGCCAACCCGCGAGGGGGAGCUAAUCCCAGAAAGUGUAUCGUAGUCCGGAUUGUAGUCUGCAACUCGACUGCAUGAAGUUGGAAUCGCUAGUAAUCGCGGAUCAGCAUGUCGCGGAGAAUACGUUCCCGGGUCUUGUACACAC
This 1329-nucleotide ribosomal RNA is filed under the name Duganella sp. AT1-1. Its description in RNAcentral is "bacterial SSU rRNA". It matches the Rfam family "Bacterial small subunit ribosomal RNA", at positions 58 to 1390 of the family's 1533-position model. Lineage: Bacteria; Pseudomonadati; Pseudomonadota; Betaproteobacteria; Burkholderiales; Oxalobacteraceae. The record is from RNAcentral.